Molecule: ribosomal RNA, 431 nt
Filed under: uncultured bacterium
Lineage: Bacteria
Description: partial 16S ribosomal RNA
Rfam family: Bacterial small subunit ribosomal RNA
Source: RNAcentral
AACGAACGCUGGCGGCAGGCUUAACACAUGCAAGCCGAACGCCCCGCCAGGGGAGUGGCAGACGGGUGAGUAACGCGUGGGAAUCUACCCAUCCCUACGGAAUAACGCAUGGAAACGUGUGCUAAUACCGUAUACGCCCUACGGGGGAAAGAUUUAUCGGGGAUGGAUGAGCCCGCGUUGGAUUAGCUAGUUGGUGGGGUAAAGGCCUACCAAGGCGACGAUCCAUAGCUGGUCUGAGAGGAUGAUCAGCCACAUUGGGACUGAGACACGGCCCAAACUCCUACGGGAGGCAGCAGUGGGGAAUAUUGGACAAUGGGCGCAAGCCUGAUCCAGCCAUGCCGCGUGAGUGAUGAAGGCCUUAGGGUUGUAAAGCUCUUUCACCGGAGAAGAUAAUGACGGUAUCCGGAGAAGAAGCCCCGGCUAACUUCGUG